This 253-nucleotide ribosomal RNA is filed under the name uncultured bacterium. Its description in RNAcentral is "partial 16S ribosomal RNA". It matches the Rfam family "Bacterial small subunit ribosomal RNA", at positions 524 to 776 of the family's 1533-position model. The record is from RNAcentral.
UACGAGAGGCCCAAACGUUAUUCGGAUUUACUGGGCUUAAAGAGUUCGUAGGCGGCGCAGAAAGUAGGGUGUGAAAGCCCUCGGCUCAACCGAGGAAUUGCGCUCUAAACUACUGUGCUCGAGGAAUCUAGAGGUGAGCGGAACUGAUGGUGGAGCGGUGAAAUGCGUUGAUAUCAUCAGGAACACCGGAGGCGAAGGCGGCUCACUGGGGAUUUUCUGACGCUGAGGAACGAAAGCCAGGGGAGCGAACGGG